Molecule: transfer-messenger RNA, 395 nt
Filed under: Spirulinaceae
Lineage: Bacteria; Bacillati; Cyanobacteriota; Cyanophyceae; Spirulinales
Also listed under: 1 other name
Description: FACHB-1406 sp014698145 Standard tmRNA
Rfam family: transfer-messenger RNA
About the family: Bacterial tmRNA, also known as 10Sa RNA or SsrA, is named for its dual tRNA and mRNA-like properties.
Source: RNAcentral
GGGGCCGUAAUGGUUUCGACAGGCUGGCGAACGCUGAAUUGUGAUACAAGUCGAGAGUGAGUCUUCUCUCGCAAAUCCCGGGCUCAAAAAAAAUGUAACUGCGAAAAACAACAUCGUAGCUUUUGCUCGUAAAGCCGCUCCUGUAGCUGCCUAAUCUAACCUCUUUCAGGUUCGAGCAUCUGUAAUUUGACUCCGUUAAAGAUUGCAGAACUAACCCCAACGGACGCUCUAACAAGGUUUCUUGAAUUACUUGUUAGCUAAGACUUAAUUCAAGAAUCCCAUCGUUCGGGAUAAGGAACGAUUCCCGCUCUGAGGAUUAGAGGAGCUAAACUUGUGAACGAGCGAGAGGUUAAUACCCAGUUUGGACAGCAGUUCGACUCUGCUCGGCUCCAUUC